RNAcentral lists this ribosomal RNA (254 nucleotides) under uncultured bacterium. RNAcentral's name for it is "partial 16S ribosomal RNA". It matches the Rfam family "Bacterial small subunit ribosomal RNA", at positions 524 to 776 of the family's 1533-position model. The record is from RNAcentral.
CACGUAGGGGGCAAGCGUUGUCCGGAUUUAUUGGGCGUAAAGAGCUCGUAGGCGGCUCAGUAAGUCGGGUGUGAAACCUCCAGGCUCAACCUGGAGACGCCACCCGAUACUGCUGUGGCUUGAGUCCGGUAGGGGAGCGUGGAAUUCCUGGUGUAGCGAUGAAAUGCGUAGAUAUCGGGAGGAAUACCGAUGGCGAAGGCAGCCCCCUGGGAUAACACUGACGCUCAUGCACGAAAGCGUGGGGAGCAAACAGG